CAAAAAGUGAUGACUCAAAUGAAAAAAAAAAACACUGAAGACAUCUCACAUUAUAGAACGGUUUAAGUAAAUUGUAAUUUGUUAAUUUUUUUCCCUCUCUCUCCUCUAUAUUCCCCCAUAUGUUCUGUAUUGGAUUAUAUUUCUGCAAAAAAAAUAAUAAUUAUGGAAGUAAUUGUCCAACAGACCAUGGUGUACUAAGAGACUGUCAUGCUGCUCCACGUCGACAGAUGGCAGUGCUGGUAUUCGUGCUUAAAGCACAAAGAGCGAGAGAACUAUUGAAAGGGUCUCUCAGCGGUACAAGAAUCAAGGGUGUUUGUAUGUGGGUUGGUAGGUUAAUCAGGAGAUUGUAGAUCGAGUGUCAAUGGUCCAUUUGAGAUAUAGGUGACGGUAAUGCACUUAUAAGUCUGCGAUCCGCCGUAAAGCAACAAGAACAACUAUUGAAAGCUCCUCGAUUAAAUGCUUGCGUUUUGAUAGAAGUGAGCACAUUAAAAUAUACUUACUGACUAAAACAACAUUAUAGGCUUGCUGUAGUGAAUGGGGGUUUAAGUGUGGCGGCUCGGAUUUGGUAGGAAACCGCGCGUUUACGUCACGUCCGGCAACACAAAGUCUGGCGCGGAUGGUUGUGUUGUUUGGAGAUCAGCGGUUUUUGAAACCGUCAGCUAGUCAUCACGGAUUAUGGAUCGCUCUAAACUGAAACCUUCGCCUCGGACCGCACAGAACCUGCUAGCGAAGCGGGAAAGCAAUAGAGUUCACGGCAAAACUAGAAUCAAUAUCGGCAGAGCGUUCGAGCGGUGGCGACAGCUCCGAGAUCUCGCGGGAUUUAACAGUGACCCGGAGCUGGCUUCUUUCUUGCUGGACAGGGUGUGUGGUGAACAUCUUUCACAAGACCAUUCCAGUGAAUCUCCGAGAAAGAGAGGAAGACGGCAGAAAUCAACAUCUGCACUGAAGUCUGAGGUAUGUCACCGGGUCAAUUCGGGUAAAUUGGGGCACUUUGCUAUUGAGAUGACUGGGGAAAAAGUCUAAAGUAUCCUUACUUAUUGCCAUAAAAUAAAUUCUAUAUAUAAUCUCUAUCUCUUAUAUGCAUUUGGUUUACACUGCAUCUGAUACAACGAUCUCGAACAUGAAUUGUCAUAGCAGACUCAGAGCGAUUCACCUCAGCCUAGUCCAGAUCUUCAGUCCACAAACGUUGAGGUCCUUGGGAUCUGCUACGACGUCCCUCCCCUAUGGUUAUAUCAGCCGGUAAGUGCUCACAUAUGCUAGUUUUGCGACCAUUGGCUUGCAAUGCAGCACUUAAUU
This 1296-nucleotide long non-coding RNA is filed under the name Sinocyclocheilus grahami. RNAcentral's name for it is "lncRNA (ENSSGRG00000048168.1)". The record is from RNAcentral. Lineage: Eukaryota; Metazoa; Chordata; Actinopteri; Cypriniformes; Cyprinidae.